UUAGAUCGUACACACAUUUACUUGGAUAACUGUGGUAAUUCUAGAGCUAAUACAUGCAAACAGAGCUCCGACCGGAGACGGAAGGAGCGCUUUUAUUAGAUCAAAACCGAUCGGUGGCGGAUUUAUCCGUCAUCGCACAAUUUGGUGAAUCUGAAUAACUUUAAGCUGAUCGCACGGUCUAGCACCGGCGACGCAUCUUUCAAAUGUCUGCCUUAUCAACUGUCGAUGGUAGGUUCUGCGCCUACCAUGGUUGUAACGGGUAACGGGGAAUCAGGGUUCGAUUCCGGAGAGGGAGCCUGAGAAACGGCUACCACAUCCAAGGAAGGCAGCAGGCGCGCAAAUUACCCACUCCCGGCACGGGGAGGUAGUGACGAAAAAUAACGAUACGGGACUCAUCCGAGGCCCCGUAAUCGGAAUGAGUACACUCUAAACCCUUUAACGAGGAUCAAUUGGAGGGCAAGUCUGGUGCCAGCAGCCGCGGUAAUUCCAGUUCCAAUAGCGUAUAUUAAAGUUGUUGCGGUUAAAAAGCUCGUAGUCGAAUUUGUGUCUCGCACCGCCGGUUCAUCGUUCGCGGUGUUAACUGGCGUGCCGUGGGACGUCCUGCCGGUGGGCUUAGCUCGUGAGGGCGGCCCAAAUUAAUCCUGCCACGGUGCUCUUCAUUGAGUGUCGAGGUGGGCCGGCACGUUUACUUUGAACAAAUUAGAGUGCUUAAAGCAGGCUAAAUUUCGCCUGAAUACUAUGUGCAUGGAAUAAUGGAAUAGGACCUCGGUUCUAUUUUGUUGGUUUUCGGAACCCCGAGGUAAUGAUUAAUAGGAACGGAUGGGGGCAUUC
RNAcentral lists this ribosomal RNA (831 nucleotides) under Cis nipponicus. RNAcentral's name for it is "SSU rRNA". It matches the Rfam family "Eukaryotic small subunit ribosomal RNA", at positions 120 to 893 of the family's 1831-position model. The record is from RNAcentral. Lineage: Eukaryota; Metazoa; Arthropoda; Insecta; Coleoptera; Ciidae.